AUAAAUCACCCAAGGACUACCAAAGACAAAUAAAACUGUGAAAGAUUCAGUUGAGCAAUAGUCGCAUUGGACUGACAAUUUGGAAUGGAGCAUAACAUGCAGUCUAUCUAAUUCAAAGCAUCCAACCUCAACCAGCGAAAUUCUCCCUUUACACUCAAAAUACAUCACCCUUGCUGAUUUCAGUUUGUUGCCGUAGCUGCCCGCAAUGCUACUUCGACUCUACCAUCUAAUCGCACAACCCAUCCGUCUUCUCUUUUAUCGCCUUCUCCUCCCAAUUGGCGAGCACCUCUAUAGCAAGGGGACCUACCAUGUCCCCAAUGUCCAACGGUUACCCUUUAAUCUAUAUCUCAAACAUUUCCGGCUUCUUCGUGCCCAAUAUGAAGCUCAUGCG
RNAcentral lists this small RNA (391 nucleotides) under Histoplasma capsulatum. Its description in RNAcentral is "hypothetical RNA". The record is from RNAcentral. RNAcentral also lists the same sequence under 1 other name. Lineage: Eukaryota; Fungi; Ascomycota; Eurotiomycetes; Onygenales; Ajellomycetaceae.